AUACGUGGGGGGCAAGCGUUAUCCGGAAUUAUUGGGCGUAAAGGGUGCGUAGGCGGUCUAUUAAGUCUGAGGUGUAAGUGCAGGGCUCAACCCUGUGAUGCUUUAGAAACUGGUAGACUUGAGUGAGAUAGAGGCAAGUGGAAUUCCAUGUGUAGCGGUAAAAUGCGUAAAUAUAUGGAGGAACACCAGUGGCGAAGGCGGCUUGCUGGAUCUAUACUGACGCUGAGGCACGAAAGCGUGGGGAGCAAACAGGAUUAGAUACCCUGGUAGUCCACGCCGUAAACGAUGAGUACUAAGUGUUGCGAGAACGCAGUGCUGAAGUUAACAUAUUAAGUACUCCGCCUGAGUAGUACGUACGCAAGUAUGAAACUCAAAUGAAUUGACGGGG
Molecule: ribosomal RNA, 388 nt
Filed under: uncultured bacterium
Lineage: Bacteria
Description: partial 16S ribosomal RNA
Rfam family: Bacterial small subunit ribosomal RNA
Source: RNAcentral